GACGAACGCUGGCGGCGUGCUUAACACAUGCAAGUCGAACGGAAAGGCCCUGCUUUUGUGGGGUGCUCGAGUGGCGAACGGGUGAGUAACACGUGAGUAACCUGCCCUUGACUUUGGGAUAACUUCAGGAAACUGGGGCUAAUACCGGAUAGGAGCUCCUGCUGCAUGGUGGGGGUUGGAAAGUUUCGGCGGUUGGGGAUGGACUCGCGGCUUAUCAGCUUGUUGGUGGGGUAGUGGCUUACCAAGGCUUUGACGGGUAGCCGGCCUGAGAGGGUGACCGGCCACAUUGGGACUGAGAUAGGGCGCAGACUCCUACGGGAGGCAGCAGUGGGGAAUAUUGCAGAAUGGGCGGAAGCCUGAUGCAGCAACGCCGCGUGCGGGAUGACGGCCUUCGGGUUGUAAACCGCUUUCGCCUGUGACGAAGCGUGAGUGACGGUAAUGGGUAAAGAAGCACCGGCUAACUACGUG
This 468-nucleotide ribosomal RNA is filed under the name uncultured bacterium. RNAcentral's name for it is "partial 16S ribosomal RNA". It matches the Rfam family "Bacterial small subunit ribosomal RNA", at positions 28 to 507 of the family's 1533-position model. The record is from RNAcentral.